CCCUUAGAUGUUCUGGGCCGCACGCGCGCUACACUGAUACGUUCAACGAGCUCCUUGGCCGAGAGGCCCGGGUAAUCUUUGAAACCGUAUCGUGAUGGGGAUAGAACAUUGCAAUUAUUGUUCUUCAACGAGGAAUGCCUAGUAAGCGCGAGUCAUCAUCUCGCGUUGAUUACGUCCCUGCCCUUUGUACACACCGCCCGUCGCUCCUACCGAUUGAACGUGCUGGUGAAGCGUUAGGACUGGAGGUCUUGGGCCGGUUCGCCUGCCCAUAGCUUCGGGAAUUUCGUUGAACCCUCCCGUUUAGAGGAAGGAGAAGUCGUAACA
Molecule: ribosomal RNA, 324 nt
Filed under: uncultured eukaryote
Lineage: Eukaryota
Description: partial 18S ribosomal RNA
Rfam family: Eukaryotic small subunit ribosomal RNA
Source: RNAcentral